This is a long non-coding RNA of Cololabis saira (Pacific saury), 732 nucleotides long. RefSeq lists it as uncharacterized. The record is from RefSeq and is a predicted model, not a curated record. The transcript has 2 exons. NCBI's taxonomy places the organism in Eukaryota, Metazoa, Chordata, Actinopteri, Beloniformes, Belonidae.
UUCUCUCAUACACGAGGCAGACAGCAGCAGAGCCGGUCAUACCAGGCGAAUCGGAUGACCAAACAAAGCAAACCCGAAGAAAAGACUAGCAGAGGGCCGUGGGUAACGACAGAGACGUCCGCAGGCAGCCCGGUAGUCACGGGCGAAUCCAGGUCCGACCGAUAAGCUGUGAACCGAGGGGGGAAACUCCCUUUGAGGGUAAAAUACAUGGAGCUCCGGUUGGUUUUUUUUUCUUUGAUAGUUUGAAACUGCUGUACGAGAAAGAGACGAUUGAGAUGGCGAGCCCAGCCCAACGAUUCUGAAGAGAAAGACGAUUGAGAUGGCGAGCCCAGCCCAACGAGUCUGAGAGAACGUGAGAGAGUUGGAGCUGCAGUGUGGCCAGCUGCAGAACCUACAUUCCUCAUUGAAUCCGGAUCAUCUGAAUCUCACAUAUCGAGAGCAGAUAAGAUACACACAUACUCCUCACCUACCCGGGUAGUAGUUAUAACAGAAAAGACUGAGGACAAAGAGUCUCAGUUGACACAAAUACACAGAACAUACACAUUGGAUCCUCCGAGAGGAAUCACCAGACCUGAGCAGGAGAGCUCAGUGUCCCAGGACUCUUUAUUUGUCUUGCGUUUUAUUUUUUUUGUUGUUGUUUUCGAGCGCUUUGUGGUGGGUAAACGUGCACAACCCAUAUGUGAAUGUUUAUUAUUUUGUUUUUUUAUUGAUAUUAAAAUAUCACCUGUUCAA